Molecule: non-coding RNA, 98 nt
Organism: Acanthosepion pharaonis
Lineage: Eukaryota; Metazoa; Mollusca; Cephalopoda; Sepiida; Sepiidae
Source: the annotation of a GenBank genome assembly
UUGAAAUACUGGUUCUCGUAUGAACACGGAAGUUAAGCAAGGUCGAAUAUGGUCAAUACCUAAAUGGGUGACCACUUCGGAAAACCGGGUGCCGUAAG